CACUCGAUGGCACAUGGUGUGUGCCUGCUUCAAUUAGUCGCCCAGUUGCAACUUGUAAGCAGGAGGUCCUGGUUCAAUUCCGGGUCGGGUGA
Molecule: non-coding RNA, 92 nt
Organism: Mycena filopes
Lineage: Eukaryota; Fungi; Basidiomycota; Agaricomycetes; Agaricales; Mycenaceae
Source: the annotation of a GenBank genome assembly